UACGAAGGGGGCUAGCGUUGCUCGGAAUCACUGGGCGUAAAGGGCGCGUAGGCGGCCAUUCAAGUCGGGGGUGAAAGCCUGUGGCUCAACCGCAGAAUUGCCUUCGAUACUGUUUGGCUUGAGUUUGGUAGAGGUUGGUGGAACUGCGAGUGUAGAGGUGAAAUUCGUAGAUAUUCGCAAGAACACCAGUGGCGAAGGCGGUGCUCUGGGCCGGAACUGACGCUGAGGAGCGAAAGCGUGGGGAGCAAACAGG
This 253-nucleotide ribosomal RNA is filed under the name uncultured bacterium. RNAcentral's name for it is "partial 16S ribosomal RNA". It matches the Rfam family "Bacterial small subunit ribosomal RNA", at positions 524 to 776 of the family's 1533-position model. The record is from RNAcentral.